UGCACAUCGGGACAUUCAUCGUGUUUUGUUUUGUUGUAGCCUCACCCACAUUCCUUCCCAAUACCCCUUCAGGUUCCUACAUACGCGUCCUCGACUUCUCCACUCUCCUCGGGCUCUCCACGUUUCCCCGCGCUAUCUCCAUUCCCCGACCCGACCAAACGUCUCGAGCUUUCGCGACCUUCUCACCUCAUCCUCCUCGGGACUCCAACGUUUUCCAUUUUCCCGCUUCGUUUCCUACAUCUUCUAUCUUAUGCUCCUGUUCGUCGUUGCCUCGUUUCGUGCCCGCAACGAGUACCUGGCUACGCCGUCAAUUUUCAGAGGAGAGCCCCAGGAGAUGAAGCAGCAAUUCGCCGACCAACGUCAUCCACGCGCAUCCCGCAUCCUGGAUCGUCGAUAAUUCAGCAUCGUCGUCAACUAGUCUGCUCGAAUUCACUGCGGGGAGCAUACUUUCCGGAAGGUUGAGCCUUUCAGGAAGUCCUUCUGAUACGCCAAGCUACGUCCUCUCCGACAACAUCGGCAACGUCCAUUCUUCCACCUUGAUCGUACCGAACAAGAGCAUCGUCGAGUGGUUCGACAUCGUCCAAGAGCAAACACGAAGAACGGAGAAUCUCAAGAAACAAGAGUCGCCAUCCAAUGGAAACACCGUGUUCACGGACGGAAAAAGUAUCGUAGCUGAAUUCGACGUUCGAAAACAACGAGGGAAAUGUCCAGCCAUUCUCUUUUUGCCCCGUUAUUCCUCUCUUUCCCAUGGUUUCCGCAUGAAAAUGUGAGAAAUACGAUAAACGUUGCCGCACUGACUAACGGCACGGGCAAAACUAUCGUGGCCAAAUCAAAUUUAAGUCCCAUGUGUGUAAACUGUAUUUGCAGAGAUAUGUUUUUCCUGGCAUUUCGCGCGGUAUGUCCCAACAGCUUUAAUUUUCUCCCUUGGGAUCGGCCUUGCGCUCGUCCAUCAUUUACGCGUAUCGAAAAUUAAAGCGGGACUCGGAACGCGUACGUACGUACGCGAAUCGAUUUUUCUUUCGCGAAUCAUCGUCGAGAAAGCGGCAACAUCGUCUUCCGACGUUCUCACGCUUUAAAAUCUCCUUUAAUCUUUCUUGAGAAGAGCAAGUCGCAAAUACAUGUUUUCCUUUCUUUUUUCGAACUUCCUGUCGCUCGGGAGGUUUGCACCGGGCGAAAGAACUCGACAGGUAAGAAAAGGGAUAGAGAGGAAAAAAAGAAACGGGGUAGACGUCGUAAACCUUAUCCGCAAGCACGUGCGGAUCGUUAGAACACCACGUGGAGGCGACGAUUUCGUUUUACGGGAUUGCAGGAAGAAAGGCACGACAUGGACGAUCCCGGAUCUUGUAAUAGGAUUUCCGGGAUCAACGAGUCUUCCUACGCGACAGCCAAUGUCUUCGAGGCAGAAACGUAAUUGCGUGGAGCGACGUGAAUUUCGACGAUUUCGAAAACCUGUUUGGCUCGUCCAAUUCCUUCGAUAUAAUUCCAUCGAAAUGUUAUCGAACGUAACAACGUGUUCUCGUUCGUUUGCAAAAUCAAGCGAAACUAUCAAGAACCAGUUCGCGAUCAAUUCGUUGACAGGAACGGAUCUGCCUCGAUGAACGGCCCGAUGUUCCAAACGUGGAGCAAUGUUACCGUGAAAAGACGCUUCUCGGUUUUCGAGCGACAGUUCGUCGAAACGUAUGUCAGACGGCUCCAGGAGAGUAUUGUACAAAGUAUUCCUUGUAUCCCUUCGAGCAGCGUGUGUGCGUGCGGUGUGUGCGUCGAACAUCAAUCGAUGGAAACGACGAACAGCGAUCGAUUCGUCUAUUCUUCAGGGAUAAAGCAAAAAUCGUGUGAUUGGGUGGAAAUUGGUCGACAGAGUCGUUUGUGGCUCUACUUUUCGCCUGCGACAAGGGUGGUUGCGUUAUUACGCCGGAACCGAAGAAAUCAGGCUGCACUUUAAUUAACGGAGUUCGCGGCAAAGCAUCGUCGUAAGAAUUGUUACGCCUCGACAGCGAACGAGUAAUUGCAUUCUCGCUGGCAUCGUCGCCGAGAAUCGUAAUAUCGGCCUCGAUUGGCCUCGCCGAAACGAUCGUCGACGGAAAAUAGGAAAUAGCAGGGAACGAUGGUAACGGUGGGAAACAAGGCGCGUUUAUAAUCAAGUCGAAUGCAACGAUAACAGCCAGCGAGUUACUCGUUAAGAAGAAAAACUAACGGCUAAAAUGCCGUUCUCUCUCUCUCUCUCUCUCUUUCUCUCGCUUCUCGCAUAUUUUAAUGUUACUCGAGUGAAAUUUGGCAUACAGAUCGAGACAGUGGUGUUUCGCGUUUCCAUCGAUCGGUGAACACACGCACGCUUACUUUUUACAUUUUAGAGCUAUAAAGAAUUACAUAUAGAUAGUUGUUGAACGAACGAGCGAACAGUGUUCCAGAGUUCUUCUUGCGAGAGAAGAGGAAAUACUUUACCAUUCUAGCGAUAUAUCAGAAACUUUGAGAAGAGAAGAAAAUCGUGGCAGCGUAUGAUGUCCGUGCAAGCUUACUAGUGCCGCCGUGCUUUUUCGUUACAAAUUUAUUUCGUCGCUCGUACCUAUCGAACGAUUUGUAUGAAAGUCAUCGUAAGUCAUCGAUGGCGCGCCGUUCCGUCUAGUGCCGUUCCCCUUCCCAACCCCAAGAUUCUAUUAACUAGCUGCUGUUAAUAUUGAUCUUCAAAUAGAUGACAAUUAUUCGAGUAUCGGGUAUUCGGCUACGUCCGAAAGAUUCUGAUUUCUUUUCACACUCGAUCUUGUUACUAAGAUAAAGAAUAAAACACGAAUAUCGACACCGGAACGGAACGACGAGCCUGAUCAUAGCGAACAAAAGAGGAAUGUAUUUUAUGAUAUUUUACGCAUAAAAUGAUCGUAAAUCGAAUAUAGCGAUUAGUCCAAGGUAAACUUAAGUAGAGGUGUAUAAAUGAGAACCCAAAGUGUGCAUAAUGUUGCACACGAUAUUUACAAGGGCUGAAAAGUGAACGCGUCGAUUUUCUCGAGCGAGUGAAAAAGGGCCGCGGAACGGUGAUUGCGUGCUAACGAUUGUACCAACGACGAUGAUAGUUAAUUACCGAUAGGCGAUCGUCGAUCAUUAUCGUUAACAUCUAGCCCCGUAACGAGAUCAUCCUGUGCCAGGAUCGCAUGAAACGGAAAUGCGACCAACCCACUUCCGGGACGUUACGUUUUUUUUUUUUCUACGGAAGUGAAUAAGAACAUCGGCAACUGUUCCGUGGUAAUUUCCCUAUCACGGAUAACACUAAGCGCUACUGUAAAAUAUUGUAUAUUAUUUCACGUUAUUUAUUUUUCAAUGUUUUUACUAGGAGACGCGUUUUUACGAUACUCAAGAGAAUUAUCGCGUAAUGUUAUAGAGACAUGACUCGUUCUGAUCCGCGGUGCUGUGCUUACAUGUGACGACCAAACGGACCUGUCAAUUUCGGACCCUUUUAGUAUUUAUAGCGAUCGUUCAGAGUGAUAGAAUAAAAGUCAAACUAAACUCGAAGGUACAAUAAAGCAAUGGUUUUCAGUCACAAUUCAGACUUUACAGUCACAGCGGAUCAGCCGAAUUAGAGUGUUUAUAAACUUCAACGUAUUUCCAGCAGCUUUUGCAGUGUGUAAAACUAACCAGAGAAACCGAAGCAAAUCUAGUCUAGGCGAGAUUUAAGAGCGUACAGCUUGCGCGUUAAAGAUUAUUACGAACGUGCCGUCCGCCCUCGAAAUGAUUGCACGUGGUCAUAAGCGUGAACUGCGCCAACACAUGCGGAUACAAGCAAGCUUGCCUUGUUCUCGAAAGUUAAGUAAUGUUAGUUUUGAAAAAAGAGGGCCGAUCGAACGAUUCGUUUUGUACGACGCGUGACAGGGAACGAUUACGUUCCAUGCUGGUCUAAUAGCGAACCAAGUGCACUAUGGAUCGUAUGGCUAACUCUAGCAGCACGAAGUACUAACGAGUUAAUAGCGAAAUUGUCGUAAGGGAAAAACGAACGCUGCAGGUAUUAACGAAGCAUAAGCCGCUGUUGAUGUUUCCUAACGUGGUCUUCGAUUUCUGUCGAAGAGAUCGGGUACAAUAGGUACCAAAAACGAGGAUAUUACGACCAAAUACCACUUAUACGACAUCGUAAAAUGAAAUAAAAAACGGAAAAAAAAUUUUAUGUAAGAGACGAAGUUUCUAUUGAAUUUCGGUUGAAGACGCAUCCAAAAAGAUAUGAUCCGAAUCCGCCGCAAUUACUUACACCUAACGAAGAGAAAUGCCUAGUCAACAUGUACGUGCUCCCAAAGAAUAUAUUUCCGUUCGGUAUUUAUCCAUUUCGAGAUUUCAUUUAGAUAUUCAUGUAUUACUGUAACAUUCUUUAAUCGUGAAUCGACAUCGAGAAAAAAAGGAAAACAGAACGAAGUAUUUGAUAAAUUUGGAGCACUUGUACAUUUAAGAAUAUUUAAGUAAUGCUAACGAUGUUACUUGCGAUUUGGUAUAUGACGAACGUCAAACACGAAAAAUAUUUUAUUCUAGUCGUAUCUUUCAUGCUUUGCCAAGUAAAAUAAUAUAAUUCCUGUGUUAAGUGUAAUAGUCAAUUAUGUUUUAAUAAAAUCUGCCAAGAUUCUUGUCAA
Molecule: long non-coding RNA, 4601 nt
Organism: Bombus impatiens (common eastern bumble bee)
Lineage: Eukaryota; Metazoa; Arthropoda; Insecta; Hymenoptera; Apidae
Exons: 3
Source: RefSeq, a predicted model, not a curated record